CGAGCAGCUCGGGUAGCCGCCGCGGCCGGAAUUGCCGCGGAGGAAAGUCCGGGCUCCGCAGGGCAGGAUGCCGGGUAACGCCCGGUCGGCGCGAGCCGAAGGAAAGUGCCACAGAAAACAGACAGCCCUCUUGAAGGGGGUAAUGGUGAAAAGGCAGGGUAAGAGCCUGCCGGAUGCGGUGUAAGCCGCAUGCCUGGCAAACCCCAUCCGGAGCAAGAUCGAAUAGGGGGGGAUGAGGCGGCCCGCCGACCCCCGGGUACGAUCGCUCGAGGGGCUCCGCGAGGAGCCUCCCAGAUAAAUGGUUACCGUAUACAGAACCCGGCUUAUGAGCUGCUCGCUUU
Molecule: RNase P RNA, 341 nt
Filed under: Fretibacterium sp. OH1220_COT-178
Lineage: Bacteria; Thermotogati; Synergistota; Synergistia; Synergistales; Aminobacteriaceae
Description: Bacterial RNase P class A
Rfam family: Bacterial RNase P class A
About the family: Ribonuclease P (RNase P) is a ubiquitous endoribonuclease, found in archaea, bacteria and eukarya as well as chloroplasts and mitochondria.
Source: Rfam by way of RNAcentral